GACGAACGCUGGCGGCGUGCUUAACACAUGCAAGUCGAACGGAAUCCAUGGUGUAGCAAUACACCGGAAGAUUUAGUGGCGAACGGGUGAGGAUCACGUGAGAAACGUGCCCCAGACUCUGGGAUAACAAUUGGAAGCGAUUGCUAAUACCGGAUGACGUCGGAGAAUCGCAUGAUUCACUGACGAAAGAUAUUUCGGUUUGGGAGCGUCUCGCGGCCUAUCAGCUUGUUGGUGGGGUAAUGGCCUACCAGGGCAACGACGGGUAGCUGGUCUGAGAGGAUGAUCAGCCACACUGGGACUGAGACACGGCCCAGACCCCUACGGGAGGCAGCAGUGGGGAAUCUUGCGCAAUGGGCGAAAGCCUGACGCAGCAACGCCGCGUGCGGGAUGAAGGCCUUCGGGCUGUAAACCGCUUUCAGCAGGAACGAAAAUGACGGUACCUGCAGAAGAAGGAGCGGCCAACUACGUGCCAGCAGCCGCGGUGACACGUAGGCUCCAAGCGUUGUCCGGAUUUAUUGGGCGUAAAGAGCUCGUAGGCGGUUGAGUAAGUCGGGUGUGAAAACUCUGGGCUUAACCCGGAGACGCCAUCCGAUACUGCUCUGACUAGAGUUCAGGAGGGGAGUGGGGAAUUUCUAGUGUAGCGGUGAAAUGCGCAGAUAUUAGGAGGAACACCGGUGGCGAAGGCGCCACUCUGGACUGAAACUGACGCUGAGGAGCGAAAGCAUGGGUAGCAAACAGGAUUAGAUACCCUGGUAGUCCAUGCCGUAAAC
RNAcentral lists this ribosomal RNA (770 nucleotides) under uncultured bacterium. RNAcentral's name for it is "bacterial SSU rRNA". It matches the Rfam family "Bacterial small subunit ribosomal RNA", at positions 28 to 807 of the family's 1533-position model. The record is from RNAcentral.